GACGAACGCUGGCGGCGUGCUUAACACAUGCAAGUCGAGCGGUAAGGCUCCUUCGGGAGUACACGAGCGGCGAACGGGUGAGUAACACGUGAGCAAUCUGCCCUUCACACUGGGAUAACCCUCGGAAACGAGAGCUAAUACCAGAUAUGACCACUUCGGGCAUCCGAUGGUGGUGGAAAGUUCCGGCGGUGAAGGAUGAGCUCGCGGCCUAUCAGCUUGUUGGUGAGGUAAUGGCUCACCAAGGCUUCGACGGGUAGCCGGCCUGAGAGGGUGACCGGCCACACUGGGACUGAGACACGGCCCAGACUCCUACGGGAGGCAGCAGUAGGGAAUCUUCCACAAUGGGCGCAAGCCUGAUGGAGCAACGCCGCGUGAAUGAAGAAGGUCUUCGGAUCGUAAAGUUCUGUUAUUAGAGAAGAACACGUGUAAGAGUAACUGAUUAUGCGUUGACGGUAUCUAAUCAGCAAGUCACGGCUAACUACGUGCCAGCCGCCGCAGUAACAC
Molecule: ribosomal RNA, 504 nt
Filed under: uncultured bacterium
Lineage: Bacteria
Description: bacterial SSU rRNA
Rfam family: Bacterial small subunit ribosomal RNA
Source: RNAcentral